UUUUACUUGGAGUUCUACUUGGAAGUGAACAUCUUUGGAGUUGAGACUGGAGAAGAAUCUGCUGACUGGACCUGAGGCCCUGUUCCUGCCCAAUAGAUUUUGCUCCAGCCUUUGACCUAUAACCUGUGCGUGUCUACCUGCUCCAUGUGUGUUUCUUGUAAACAACAUAUGGCAGGAUUUUGGUUUCUAGUCCACUCUGCUAUUUGCUUCCUCUUUACAGCUCUGUUGUGUGGAAGAAAGAAGGGAAGGAAGGAAGAAAGGAAGGAAGGAAGGAAGGAAGGAAGGAAGGAAGGAAGGAAGGAAGGAAGGAAGGAAGGAAGGAAGGAAGGAAAGAAAAGAGAGAGAAUGAGAGAGAAAGAAAAAAAGGAAAGAAGGAAGAAAAGAAAGAGAGAAAGAACCAAAAGUCAUCCCCAAUUUAUGAACUAUCAAAGGAAAUAUGCAUCUUCUAAGAGAAUUAUGAUAUGCUAGCAAAUAACUAAUAGUGGGGACUAUAGAUCAAAAUAUUAAUUAUAUUUUACUCUGCAUGUUAGUAAAGUUGACCCCAAAAUGGGAAUAGGCAAUGCUGAAGGACUUAUGGGAAAAUAAAUACUCAUUCAUUUUUGGUGGAGCUAUGAAG
Molecule: long non-coding RNA, 616 nt
Filed under: Monodelphis domestica (gray short-tailed opossum)
Lineage: Eukaryota; Metazoa; Chordata; Mammalia; Didelphimorphia; Didelphidae
Description: lncRNA (ENSMODG00000043129.1)
Source: RNAcentral